This 485-nucleotide ribosomal RNA is filed under the name uncultured bacterium. RNAcentral describes it as "bacterial SSU rRNA". It matches the Rfam family "Bacterial small subunit ribosomal RNA", at positions 28 to 532 of the family's 1533-position model. The record is from RNAcentral.
GAUGAACGCUAGCGGCAGGCUUAACACAUGCAAGUCGAGGGGUAUAGUUCUUCGGAGCUAGAGACCGGCGCACGGGUGCGUAACGCGUAUGCAAUCUACCUUUUACAGAGGGAUAGCCCCAGAGAAAUUUGGAUUAAUACCUCAUAGUAUGUGAGAAUCGCAUGGUUUUCACAUUAAAGUUCCAACGGUAAAGAUGAGCAUGCGUCCCAUUAGCUAGAUGGUAAGGUAACGGCUUACCAUGGCUACGAUGGGUAGGGGUCCUGAGAGGGAGAUCCCCCACACUGGUACUGAGACACGGACCAGACUCCUACGGGAGGCAGCAGUGAGGAAUAUUGGACAAUGGGCGCAAGCCUGAUCCAGCCAUGCCGCGUGCAGGAUGAAGGCCUUAGGGUUGUAAAGUUCUUUCGCCGAUGAAGAUAAUGACGGUAGUCGGAGAAAAAGCCCCGGCUAACUUCGUGCCAGCAGCCGCGGUAAUGUGACUACUG